CGCGUGCACUGGUCCGGCCGGGCCUUUCCUUCUGUGGAACCCCAUGCCCUUCACUGGGUGUGGCGGGGAAACAGGACUUUUACUUUGAAAAAAUUAGAGUGCUCCAGGCAGGCCUAUGCUCGAAUACAUUAGCAUGGAAUAAUAAAAUAGGACGUGUGGUUCUAUUUUGUUGGUUUCUAGGACCGCCGUAAUGAUUAAUAGGGACAGUCGGGGGCAUCAGUAUUCAGUUGUCAGAGGUGAAAUUCUUAGAUCUACUGAAGACUAACUACUGCGAAAGCAUUUGCCAAGGAUGUUUUCAUUAAUCAGGAACGAAAGUUAGGGGAUCGAAGACGAUCAGAUACCGUCGUAGUCUUAACCAUAAACUAUGCCGACUAGGGAUCGGACGAUGUUAUUUUUUGACUCGUCCGGCACCUUACGAGAAAUCAAAGUGCUUGGGCUCCAGGGGGAGUAUGGUCGCAAGGCUGAAACUUAAAGAAAUUGACGGAAGGGCACCACCAGGGGUGGAGCCUGCGGCUUAAUUUGACUCAACACGGGGAAACUCACCAGGUCCAGACACAAUAAGGAUUGACAGAUUGAGAGCUCUUUCUUGAUUUUGUGGGUGGUGGUGCAUGGGCCGUUCUUAGUUGGUGGAGUGAUUUGUCUGCUUAAUUGCGAUAACGAACGAGACCUUAACCUGCUAACUAGCCCGUAUUGCUCAGGCAGUACGCCGGCUUCUUAGAGGGACUAUCGG
This 730-nucleotide ribosomal RNA is filed under the name uncultured eukaryote. RNAcentral's name for it is "SSU rRNA". It matches the Rfam family "Eukaryotic small subunit ribosomal RNA", at positions 670 to 1426 of the family's 1831-position model. The record is from RNAcentral.